AAGCCCCUUAUUGUCAUAAUAUCUGCUCUUGGAACAUUGAUGAAGGUCCAAGCAAGACGGUCAGAUUGUGAAAUCAAAGAGGGCCAGCAGUCUACAACCCUUAGAAGAGGAGUUUAAAACAAUGCAAUCCUGGCAGGAGGAAUUUCCAUUGUGUUUGCUGCAUCAGAGGCUCCGCUAUAAAAUGCUGAUCAACCAUAGAGGGCGCCAUUACCAUUCCAUGAAGCCUGCUACAUCACACAACAGUAAUGGAAAGAGUAAAGGGGAAAAAAAGAACUGGACACUGCCUUAAUGGCACUGGAAAGAGGAAAAACAGAACUGAAUGCUGCCUAACUUUAAUCACAGCAGUAGCGCCCCCACUCAUCCAGAAAAGCUGACAAAAUUUUAUUUUCCAAGAUAUGCGAUCAAGUUUCAACCAACCCAGUUGAAUUUUUAGUGACAUGUACAUGAUAUAAAUCAGAACAUUUGGAAGUGUAAAUCUAGAAAGGUUUGGAAAUUUAUGUUAGAC
This is a long non-coding RNA of Acanthaster planci (crown-of-thorns starfish), 505 nucleotides long. The record is from RefSeq and is a predicted model, not a curated record. Lineage: Eukaryota; Metazoa; Echinodermata; Asteroidea; Valvatida; Acanthasteridae.